AGAGUUUGAUCCUGGCUCAGAGCGAACGCUGGCGGCAGGCUUAACACAUGCAAGUCGAGCGGGCACUUCGGUGUCAGCGGCAGACGGGUGAGUAACACGUGGGAACGUACCCUUUGGUUCGGAACAACUCUGGGAAACUGGAGCUAAUACCGGAUACGCCCUUUUGGGGAAAGGCUUGCUGCCGAAGGAUCGGCCCGCGUCUGAUUAGCUAGUUGGUGGGGUAAUGGCCUACCAAGGCGACGAUCAGUAGCUGGUCUGAGAGGAUGAUCAGCCACACUGGGACUGAGACACGGCCCAGACUCCUACGGGAGGCAGCAGUGGGGAAUAUUGGACAAUGGGCGCAAGCCUGAUCCAGCCAUGCCGCGUGAGUGAUGAAGGCCUUAGGGUUGUAAAGCUCUUUUGUCCGGGACGAUAAUGACGGUACCGGAAGAAUAAGCCCCGGCUAACUUCGUGCCAGCAGCCGCGGUAAUACGAAGGGGGCUAGCGUUGCUCGGAAUCACUGGGCGUAAAGGGCGCGUAGGCGGCCAUUCAAGUCGGGGGUGAAAGCCUGUGGCUCAACCACAGAAUUGCCUUCGAUACUGUUUGGCUUGAGACCGGAAGAGGUAAGUGGAACUGCGAGUGUAGAGGUGAAAUUCGUAGAUAUUCGCAAGAACACCAGUGGCGAAGGCGGCUUACUGGUCCGGUUCUGNNGCUGAGNNNCGAAAGCGUGGGGAGCAAACAGGAUUAGAUACCCUAGUAGUCC
This 742-nucleotide ribosomal RNA is filed under the name uncultured bacterium. RNAcentral's name for it is "bacterial SSU rRNA". It matches the Rfam family "Bacterial small subunit ribosomal RNA", at positions 8 to 796 of the family's 1533-position model. The record is from RNAcentral.